This is a long non-coding RNA of Nerophis ophidion (straightnose pipefish), 4337 nucleotides long. RefSeq lists it as uncharacterized. Lineage: Eukaryota; Metazoa; Chordata; Actinopteri; Syngnathiformes; Syngnathidae. The transcript has 5 exons. The record is from RefSeq and is a predicted model, not a curated record.
GGACACAGCAGAGUGUUUGACGGUGGCGGCGACACAUGCUUCUCCAGACCACAGCCCAGUGUAGCCACUUAUCCUCAAUGACUAUCCUCAAAGCUGCUGGUACACACUGACUCCGUUUUGUCUCUGUUCUGAUGAUUUAGACCAACAAUGAAUUAGGAAAUUAUUCAAAACAAACCAAGCAGUAAGGUUCAGUUCACCAUCGAAGGGUUGGUAAACCCUGAUAUAAUUUAACAUUAUCCAAGUGUAACACUUGCCAUUGGCACAUUUUAUGUCUUUUGUGGUUAGACGGAAGUAGUUUCUUUGACAACCAAACAUUUGAGUGUUCUAAGUCUAGUGCCAUCCUACCACUACUGAACAAAACCUUAGCGCUGCGGUUUGUACCCAUAACGCCCCUUGAAAAAUUGUGUACCGUACCAAAGCGAAUCGAACUGUACUGGUAGAAAUGAGGCUGCAUUUCCUUCAAAUCUUUGAAUGUUCAUAUCUGUUUGUGGUUCCCAGAAACUAUUGUUGACGCUACAGCUUUUAGACAGUAAGUAGAACAGUACAAAAUGAGUUAUGACCGUAUGUUAUUCCAGAUUCAGUUAUUUUUUAACUGUUUGUAUAGAACGAGGGGACUUUUUAAUCCUGUUGAAUUUUUGGGACCCAAAUACAGAACUAUAGAAUUGUCCCAUAGAGUUAUUGGUACUUCCCUUUGGGACAGUGUAUCUUCGACACUGUGCAGUUUGAAGUUAAACCGGUUUGUUUCUAUUGUCAGUUGGGACUCUGACAUUCUUUGACUGGUUUUGUACUUUAUUGUAAAACAGGUAUUUGUCCCACCGCUAUCAGUUGCAGUAGACAUUGCUGAAGUUUUCCACGUGUUAGCUCGCUACACAUAUUUCCCUGAUUAGUAGUAGUUCACAGAAAUACAUUGACUUGUUUUGAAACCAUGUUGGCUAUGAUAGUGGUAGUUUACAGAAAUACAGUGACUUGUUUUAAAACCGUGUUGGCUUAGAUUCAGAAAAACGGUACACUUUCUCCCAAAAUAUCUUGUUAUUCAUGGUUAGCUGGCAUAUUUUAUUUUUCUGUGAGCAGUGCUUAAAUGAUUGUAAUGAUGACUCCCAUCAAAGAUACAAAGCUACGAAGGACUGCGGACAACCCAAUCAUGAGAUGGGCAGUUUUGUGACAGCAGUGAGAUAGGAGAGUUCUCACGGAUGUUUGCUGUUUUUAUUGGAUUGAUUUAUAUGAAAGGCAUGAUGUCUAGUGCAUGAGACUGAACAGAAAAAGCUUUAUUCGCCUUCUUUUACUGUCAGUACAUCCUUUUUUUCCCCUGAGAAAGUCAACAGUGGAGUGGACUUUUCCCGCAAGAGGAGGGUACUUAAAUUAUUAAUGUUUCUUUUAAUUUAUAUAUCUUAUAAAACUUGACUGAACAAAGAUGCUAUUUAUUGUCAAAAUCAUGUUUUUUUUUUACGUGGUUAUGUAAAUUAAAGGUUGCUAAAUGUGCAAGGAAUACAAAAGUCAAGAGUUAUUGAGUUUGUGACCGGUUUAUUUUGUGUGUAGAACUUAGCAGCAGCAGCUUGAUUGGAACCCAGCUUUUACUGAUAAAAGAUCAUUCCCCGGGGCUUUCUGCCUUGUGUUCAAAGAGGGGAGCCUCUGCAGAGCGUGGCGUUGAAUAUAAAUCACAGCUGAGGGGAAGCCCUCGUUUCAUAUCCCCCCAUGCUUGCAGCGGCUGUUACAUUGCAGUGCAGCAGCAGUUCAGGGUUGGCAAGAGCCCCGAUAAUAUGGUUUCUACGUAUUGGUACUUCCAUUACGGAGGUAUAAAUGGCACAUAUGGCCACGUUAUGCUCUUUAUUUGAUCAAUCUGAUUAUGAUGCAACGCUGUACAAUUUAAGCUCGAUGGAAAAGGAUUCACUUCAAUUACGAUGCAUUAGGACACAAUGCUCUUAAACUACAAAACAGUGAGUUACGAAACAAUUUGCUUUUUAAUUACAAUGCAUAAAAUUAAAUACAUCCGAAAUGGUUCAGCCUCGUUACAAUGUGAUAAAGGUCACUUUGUGUUGUCAAACAAUUAAUUUCUAACUCAAUCAUUUUUAAAUUUUAAUUAAUCACAAAUGUUCAAUUAAUUACUUUCCAUAUUUUACUUAGCUUUAAAAAAAAGACCCCAUUAUUUUGACACAAAUGACAUUUUAUUUUCAUAAUUUACCUAGCUUUAAAAAAGACGCCAUUAUUUUGACACAAAUUACAUUUUAUUUUCAGAAUGUAUUGUGAAUUCUUGUGAAUUAUAUUUAUAUAGCGCUUUUCUCUAGUGACUCAAAGUGACUCUAAGUUACAUUUAAACCAGUGUGGGUGGCACUGGGAGCAGGUGGGUAAAGCGUCUUGCCCAAAGACACGACGGCUGUGACUAGGAUGACGAAAGCGGGGAUCGAACCUGGAACCCUCAAGUUGUUGGCACGGCCACUCUACCAACCGAGCUGUACCGACCCAAAUGUAAUUUGAAAAACAGUUUUUUAUAUAUUAAUUAAUUGUAAAAAUGUUCGCAAAUUACAUUAUGAAAAUAAAAUGUAAUUUGUGUCAAAAUAAUGGUGUUGAAUUGUGGCCCUGCGAUGAGGUGGCGACUUGUCCAGGCUCCAUCACCCUCCACGACCCCGAAAGGGACACGCGGUAGAAAAUGGAUGGAUGGAUUAAUGAAUUGCACUUAAUUCAUUUGCUCAAGACCUGGCAACAGUAUAGUAUGAUGUGCACAUUUUGAACAAUUCUGCAAUAAUACAAACAAGGUGCUGAUAUUGUACUAAACAGUAAUGGGCAGUAGCUAGCUACAUGAGUGAAGCUGGGUAGCUUAACUACGUUUUCCAGUUACUUGGCGGUAGUUUAGCUACUUUUUUAACGAGAAGCUUUCCCUGCAGCUUAGCUACUUUUAGAGCUCUGUCGCUAGGUAGCUUGCAUCAACACUACAAGCUACAAAGAGAGAAAAUGGACUGCGAAUACAGGCCCAAAAAAAUAUGGAGGAAAUACAAUGAACUGGAUAAAUGAAAACAUCCAUUUUCUACCGCUUGUCCCUUUUGGGGUUACGGGGUUGCUGUAGCCUAUCCCUUGCAUACAGAGAAAAUCAAUGAUUGGUUGGUGUUCUUAUGAUGAGUCACAAUUGGCUAAAGUUAGGGCUAAACAUUACAGAUUGGCCAAUCAGAGGCAAGAUAAGGCGGGUCAUCAAAACUGGUACGCAAAAUCAUAACAGUCACGCACGCAGGUCACAUGACAUGAUUAUAGCAUAGGAAUACAAACUGAAAUGUGGGGUGUUGCUGUAUCGGGGGUCUGGGUGGUCAGAAAAGCAGUCAGUGUCUGGUUCGCCUCAUGCAGUGCAUAGAGUUGAUCAGGUUGUUGAUUUUGGCCUGUGGAAUGUUAGUCCACUAUUCUUCAAUGGCUGUGACAAGUUCCUGGACAUUGGCAUGAAGGGGAACAUGCUGUCAUAUAUGCCGAUCCGCCGCAUCCCAAACAUGCUCAAUGCGUGACAUGUUCGGGAUGUUUUCAGUUUCCAGGAAUUGUUGUCAGAUCCUUUGUAACAUGGGGCCCUGCAUUGUCUUGGUGCAACAUAACCCAGUGGGCACCCGUCCUUAGUUCAACGUCAAGGUGAGGUUGAAAUUACGUCGCGACGUCACUCAACCAUAUCCCGACCAAAUCACAACCAACUGACCCCACCACACCAUAUGUUGCAAAUCUGGUUUGUUUUCAUCAUUGGGGGACAUCGUCUUUUCAACGUUGUUUCAACGUGUACAAUUCAACUUGCCAAACAUUCUGCGCGCAUCGGCCAUUCGCGACAGUUUUCAACAAAACCGCUGCUUGACGGCAGCGUGAACUAAAAGCCAAGCUUGUGCGCAUGUGUGCUGAAGUACUUCCUUUCCAGUCCAGCAAGCAAGACUAAGAGCGAAGAUUUGAAUUGGAAAUCAAACUAUUUCACUGCAAAGAAAACCAUCGACGUCCAUAAAGAUUCAGAAAUUGGAGACAGUGGAGGAACUACUCGACCUUGACGAGUUGAUAAAAACUCAACCAAGAAAGAAAUAUUUGCUGACAGCCAGGCUCUCAAAGAUUGGUGGAUAUGACUUAAAAAGCUGUUUAAGCACCAUCAUGGACAGGCUCAUGACAAAUGAAUUAAUGUCCAAUCUGAACAUGAAGGGGAGAGGGGGAAAAAAUUAGCUUUGCCGAGACGAAGCUGCUCAAUUUAGCCACAGCUAGUGUCUUGGAUACCCAGAAGGGGACCGAAACGAUGGUCCAUGAUGUCAUAAGAAAUAAACUGAAAUAUGCCCCUGGACGGAAUGGAGGAAUAGGAUGGGCAUCACAGGCUAAAUAAAUAAUUAUAUUGAUUGACA